UCGAAGACGUGAUGUGGAGCGAAAUAAAGUAGUGAAGCGUGUGAGCCAUGUGCCGAGAAAAGCUGCUAUUGUGUAAUGCGUGCCCGUACCGUAAACCGACACAGGUGGAUGAGGAGAGAAUCCUAAGGCCGACAGAAGAAGCAUUGUUAAGGAAUUCGGCAAAAUGACCCCGUAACUUCGGGAGAAGGGGUGCCUGCGAGAGCAGGCCGCAGAGAAUAGGCUCAAGCAACUGUUUAGCAAAAACACAGGUCUAUGCGAAACCGAAAGGUGAAGUAUAUGGGCUGACGCCUGCCCGGUGCUGGAAGGUUAAGAGGAAAGGUUAGCGUAAGCGAAGCCUUGAAUUUAAGCCCCAGUAAACGGCGGCCGUAACUAUAACGGUCCUAAGGUAGCGAAAUUCCUUGUCGGGUAAGUUCCGACCCGCACGAAAGGCGUAAUGAUUUGAGCACUGUCUCGACAAUGCAUCCGGUGAAAUUGAAGUACCAGUGAAGAUGCUGGUUACCCGCGCCAGGACGGAAAGACCCCAUGGAGCUUUACUCCAGUUUGAUACUGGGAUUCGGUACUGCAUGUACAGGAUAGGUGGGAGACGAAGAAGGAUGGACGCCAGUCUGUCCGGAGUCGCUGUUGGGAUACCACCCCUGUAGUACUGGGUUUCUAACCAGUUGCCAUGAACUGGCAAUGGGACAAUGUCAGGCGGGGAGUUUGACUGGGGCGGUCGCCUCCGAAAGGGUAUCGGAGGCGCUCAAAGGUUCCCUCAGAAUGGUUGGAAACCAUUUGAAGAGUGCAAAGGCAGAAGGGAGCUUGACUGCGACACCGACGGGUGGAGCAGGUACGAAAGUAGGACUUAGUGAUCCGGUGGUAUAAAGUGGGAUUGCCAUCGCUCAACGGAUAAAAGCUACCCUGGGAUAACAGGCUUAUCACUCCCAAGAGUUCACAUCGACGGAGUGGUUUGGCACCUCGAUGUCGGCUCAUCGCAUCCUGGGGCUGUAGCAGGUCCCAAGGGUUGGGCUGUUCGCCCAUUAAAGCGGUACGCGAGCUGGGUUCAGAACGUCGUGAGACAGUUCGGUCCCUAUCCGGCGCGGGCGGAGGAUAUUUGAGAGGAGCUGUCCUUAGUACGAGAGGACCGGGAUGGACGGACCACUGGUGUAUCUGUUGUCGACCAACGGCAUGGCAGAGUAGCCAAGUCUGGAAGGGAUAAACGCUGAAGGCAUCUAAGCGUGAAGCCCCCCUCAAGAUGAGAUAUCCCUCCUUCGGGAGUAAGACCCCUUGAAGACUACAAGGUAGAUAGGGCAGAGGUGGAAGCAUGGCAACAUGUGGAGCUGACUGUUACUAAUAGGUCGAGGGCUUAAU
RNAcentral lists this ribosomal RNA (1347 nucleotides) under metagenome. RNAcentral describes it as "bacterial LSU rRNA". It matches the Rfam family "Bacterial large subunit ribosomal RNA", at positions 1555 to 2925 of the family's 2925-position model. The record is from RNAcentral.